AGCGGACGCUGGCGGCAGGCUUAACACAUGCAAGUCGAGCGGGCAUAGCAAUAUGUCAGCGGCAGACGGGUGAGUAACGCGUGGGAACGUACCUUUUGGUUCGGAACAACUGAGGGAAACUUCAGCUAAUACCGGAUAAGCCCUUACGGGGAAAGAUUUAUCGCCGAAAGAUCGGCCCGCGUCUGAUUAGCUAGUUGGUGAGGUAAUGGCUCACCAAGGCGACGAUCAGUAGCUGGUCUGAGAGGAUGAUCGGCCACAUUGGGACUGAGACACGGCCCAAACUCCUACGGGAGGCAGCAGUGGGGAAUACUGGACAAUGGGCGCAAGCCUGAUCCAGCCAUGCCGCGUGAGUGAUGAAGGCCCUAGGGUUGUAAAGCUCUUUUGUGCGGGAAGAUAAUGACGGUACCGCAAGAAUAAGCCCCGGCUAACUUCGUGCCAGCCGCCGCAGUAA
RNAcentral lists this ribosomal RNA (451 nucleotides) under uncultured bacterium. RNAcentral's name for it is "partial 16S ribosomal RNA". It matches the Rfam family "Bacterial small subunit ribosomal RNA", at positions 29 to 523 of the family's 1533-position model. The record is from RNAcentral.